Molecule: long non-coding RNA, 3339 nt
Organism: Anolis carolinensis (green anole)
Lineage: Eukaryota; Metazoa; Chordata; Lepidosauria; Squamata; Anolidae
Exons: 2
Source: RefSeq, a predicted model, not a curated record
UCUGUACUUUCCUAUAUUAACUGGCAUAGUAUAAUUUCCUUUCUUCAUAAGAGACAUGGGUUGUAUCAUUGUUAGCAAAAAGUGUGGUACAUUUCUAAUUCUUGAUUCCACUUUUCUGUCUUUAUCAUUGUCUUUCACCUUCACCACCACACUGCAAUCCUGUCUAAAUAUCCUUCCCUUCCUUUCCUCCCGCCACAUCUCUUCCCUCUUCCCUCAUCACAUUUCAGCUCUCUUGUGCUUUUUCUGGGUCCAUUUGCUAUUUUUCAGACUUUGUGUUUUUUCUGAACGCAAUACUCUGAGACAUAGAGGUUGAUGUUUAAUGUACUUCAUUUAAUGACGUCACGGGGCCUGUCCCUUGUGACAUUCUCAGUGGGCUGUCCUGAAAUUUCCAGGCUUGGGAUGUUCCUAAAUGGACCAAACCUCUGUUAACUGCCAACAAGAGAAGCAGAAAUUUAUUUUCACCUCUCCCCAACCCCAGAUAGUUUAUAUCCUACCAGGACAAAUGGCUGAUUUUGGGUGGGUCUAAAGCUCAUUGGCAACUGGUGCAUAUUACAUGCCAUGAGUCAAUUCCUAAUACCUCUAGUUAAAAACAGGCAGCAGGGAAGACUCAUGGGAAGGCAGCUUCAGCAUCAACCACAGUGGCACCAUUCAAAUCAGAAGUCUAACAUGUGAUAAAAUUAUAUAUAUAUAUUCACCUUCAAGGCAAGAUUCUUUUCCUUUUCUCCUGCAGACCGAAGAAUAAGGGCCAGGCCUUGCGAUCUGGAAAAGCUAAUGUGUGUGAAUAUUAGUUAUAAAUUCUUGAAAAUGAAGGAAAGUCUUUCUAUAUAUUCCGUAGGCAAUAUUUCAGAGGCAGAAACUGGCAAAAGCAUAUUCCUUGCCUAAGAAAAGCUUAUGAAGUGCAUGGGGUCACUAUAAGUCAACUGGCAACUUGAAGGGCUACACACAGUAUAACUGCUCAAAGGCAUUACUUUGAACCCUAGCAAAAAGGAAGUGGUACUCUUGGAUAACAAUCAUAUACAUUUCAAACCCCUAUAGUCUGAUCUCCAGCUGCAAAGUAAGACAUUAAAAAAAUCACCAUGUAUGCAUUCAGGUGACCAUAGGCUCUCAGGUCUGUACAUGAGCAAUGCAGUACUCAUUAAAGCUGCAGAGGCCAGUAUCGAAGAAACAAAUGUAGGAGUAUAUUUUUGCGCACACUGGAACCCAGAGGCAUACAUCCCGAUAUGAGAUUUAUUAGAGGCAGCUGAAGUAAGGAAGAGGCUAGAAGGAUAACUGAGAUGCCGCUUCUCAGUGGUUCGGGUUCCCGGGGUGUCUAGGCUCUGUAGUUUCAAAUCAGACGCAAACAGGAAUGAAGACAAGGCUUUAUUCACUUCAACCAAAAGUGGAUGUUGGAGAGACAACGCUCUCAAAUCAGACAUAAAGCAAUGGAUGCAGCACAGAGACCUUUAUAUAGACUUGACAGCUAUUCAAACAGUGGUCUUUUGCGGUUCUGGUCACUGAUCGGUGCAAAUUACAAACUACUAGCUGAUUGGUAGAGGCACGCCAUCUGCUGCUGCAGCUGAUUGGUAUCCUUGUUUGGUGGAAAUUUUAACAAACUGUCAUUGCUCUGUUUGAAACUUGCGGCUGUUUCUUAAGUCCGCCUUGGGGGAAAGGCGUGUGGAUAGGGUUCGGGAUUGAUGGCUUUAUUUCUGCCAGCUGGAAUUUGACAAUAGAUUCGGGCUGAGGAAACAAUCGAUGCCAAAACACCUUGAUGGGUUCCCAGGGAGAAACAAAAGCAGGGUGUUGGGUGACUCUGUGACCAUUAAUUAUUGUGUUGUCCAAGGCUUUCAUGGUUGGAAUUGCUGUCAGUUUUCUGGGCUAUAUGGCCAUGUUCCGGAAGCUUUCUCUCCUGACGUUUCACCCACAUCUAUGGCAGGCAUUCUCAGAGGUUGUGAGGUAUAUUGGAAACUGGUAUUGGAAACUAGGGUGCCUGCCAUAGAUGUGGGCGAAAUGUCAGGAGAGAAUGCUUCUGGAGCAUGGCCAUACAGCCUGGAAAACUCACAGCAACCAACCUUUUAUUGUUUAUUUAUUUUUCUCCCAUUUUUCUCCCAUAGGUGAGAUUCAAAGCAGGGUACAGGGAUUAAUUCAAUGUUGGGUGGAAAGGUGUAUGGUUGGCUAGGAAGGAUGGCCAUCAGAUGAUUAUGCCAAUUGCCUGGAGGAGUAAUGGGAUUAGUCCUGUGUUCCUCUCAAUGGGUGGUUGUGCAACUAUGUAUCUGGAGGAAAGGUCGCCUUUUGAUGUUAGCCAGACUGUGUUUCUGGCGGAAAGGUCAUGCUUAGAUGUCAUUUGAGGGACCCUUUAUGGCCGUGGGUUUUGGGGUCCUGGGUUUUGAUAACAAUAUGAAUAUAGGAAGCGCUAUAAGGCAGUAAUGGUCCCUGGACUGGUAUUAAUCCUUUGGCUGCCUGAUCCUGGUGAAUUUCCAGGAAAUAAAGAUUGUAAUUGAUGGACACAUAUUACAAAAUAUUAGCAAAUUUUGAGAUAUAUAUUUUUUGCUAAUCCCCAUACGUCAGAUAAGCUGGGAAGCACUGCUAUUACGUAUCUAUUUUAAACAUCUAUUUCCAGUUACAAUGCCAACAGGAAGCUUCCUUCUACUACCUGUUGUUCGUGCUGUAAGCAUGCAUAGACAACGGAGAAGAAAAUAUAUAUACCAUACAUUGGUGAAAAAAUGUGCCCGUUCAAAAACCACCCUUAGUCCUUUUGAACUCUCAGAACUUGAAAGAUGAAUGGCUUCUCCUGGGCCUUUACUCUUUUAUGCUCUGAUUUUAAAUGGGAAGAAAAUCCCAUUUCGACAGAACUCGCUUCCCAGGAAAUGUGCUUUGGAUCUCAGCCUAGCCCUUCUCUGUAAAAAUCAAUGGGAGAUGGGCUGCACUGUGGCAAGUGAUUUAUAAAAGGAAGAAGCGUCAGGUGAAUCAGAUUUUGAAGCUUUGGUUUGGGCUUUUUUUGUGGUGGGCUGGAAGGAUCUAACAACUUAAUGGAGGCUCUUCUGUACCUGGUCUUGGGAGAAUAUUGAUGUAGUGGUGGUUAUGCUGACAGCAAAAUUUAUAGAAUAUUUCUGUUUUGAAUAGAUUAAGAUGAUGCCAAGCCUCUCUGAGAUGCCGAGUCAGGUUGCAGUCUUUUGCAAAUUUAUCUAACAAAUGCACUGAACAGAGUGGGCUUUACUUCUGAGGAAACUGGCAGAGGGUUAUGCUACAUGCAAAGUUCAUGACUUCUGUUUUUUAAUUGGUUGUUUUAUUGUGCCGCUUUUGAUUUUGAGGAGUCCCUUCAGGAAGAUAGGGCAGAAUAUAAAUAAAGUUAUUUAUUUAUUA